GUAAUCACAAGCCCUGCUUGAACGGCGGAACCUGCCAGCAGACAGAUGAAGGCGCUUUCCGAUGCACUUGUUCCCCAGAGUUUAAUGGAAAACACUGUGGGAGAGCAAUAACCUAUACGCACCUUGGAUGCUACGUAGAUAAUACCGAUCGUGCCAUUAAGGGAUUUGAGGAAAGUCCAGCUACACUGCAAUAUUGCUAUCAGCAGGCUGUGAGUCAUGGGUACAGAGCAUUCGCAAUGCAGUAUGGCGAUGAGUGCUAUACGGGCGCAGACGCACAUAAUACCUAUUCCAAGUAUGGUAGCGGUUCAGGUUGUGGGGGUGGUACCGGGGGAUUCUGGAGAAACGAUGUUUACCAAAUAAACUACUAAAUGAAAAUCUUUGUUGCACAGAUUGCUCAUACCAAAUCAAAUUACACUCAAAUAAUUUAAAUUGGAUAUGUAAAAUUAUCCACAUCGAAAAAGUAAGAACGAAGCAUUUUCUCACUAAUUUUUGCUGUUGUUGUUGUUACCUGAAUUUAUGUCAAUCUUUUUUUCUUCAGCCAUGGAUCCUCAAUUUGGCUCGUAAAACGUAUAUGGGCAAUUCCAAAGUGGGCAUUCUAAUAUAUAUAAAGAUUAAUGUACUGCUCAUAGAACGUGGCAGAUAAUAUAAUGCCAUUAUAUAAAUUCCAUAAUCAAUGAGUUAACACCUCCAUUACUAUAACGUCCCUAUCCGCCUAGAAAAUAUAGGCCCAGCCCCAAAACGUCAGAAAUGCAUACUAAACAUAACCAGAGUCGGAUACACAAGUAUUCAUCCAAGGCGUAGACGACCUUCAAAAGCGCAUCAAAGCAAUGUAACAGAAAUGAUUCCAUUGUCAAAAUAUGGAAUUUUGAACAUCAAAAUAAAUUUUAUGGCCGAAA
Molecule: long non-coding RNA, 896 nt
Organism: Nematostella vectensis (starlet sea anemone)
Lineage: Eukaryota; Metazoa; Cnidaria; Anthozoa; Actiniaria; Edwardsiidae
Exons: 2
Source: RefSeq, a predicted model, not a curated record